This 440-nucleotide ribosomal RNA is filed under the name uncultured bacterium. RNAcentral's name for it is "partial 16S ribosomal RNA". It matches the Rfam family "Bacterial small subunit ribosomal RNA", at positions 338 to 795 of the family's 1533-position model. The record is from RNAcentral.
CCUACGGGUGGCUGCAGUGGGGAAUAUUGCACAAUGGGGGAAACCCUGAUGCAGCGACGCCGCGUGAGUGAAGAAGUAUUUCGGUAUGUAAAGCUCUAUCAGCAGGGAAGAAAAUGACGGUACCUGACUAAGAAGCCCCGGCUAACUACGUUCCAGCAGCCGCGGUAAUACUAAGGGGGCAAGCGUGAUCCGGUUCUACUGGGUGUAAAGGGAGCGUAGACGGCCAGACAAGUCAGAAGUGAAAGCCCAGGGCUCAACCCUGGGACUGCUUGGGAUACUGCCCGGCUGGAGUGCAGGAGAGGUAAGCGGAAUUCCAAGUGUAGCGGUGAAAUGCGUAGAUAUCAGGAGGAACACCAGUGGCGAAGGCGGCUUACUGGACUGAAACUGACGCUGAGGCUCGAAAGCGUGGGGAGCAAACAGGAUUAGAUACCCCUGUAGUC